UGGAUGAAUGCGGUCAAAGUGCUUCCAAGCCUCCCCACAAGCAGGAUGCACCAUCUCAUCUGAAUCACCUCCCUUUACAUGCCAUGACAUGUUUUCAGCCGUUCUGCUUGACAUAAAAAGCCUCUGAAGUCUUGGUGUUAUUGGAAGAUAUCGCAACCUUCUAUAAGGAACAUCUUUUCUUCUACCACCACCAUCAUUUCUUCUGAGUUUAUAUCGAGGAUGACCACAAAUAGUACACUCAAUCAAAUUCCCUGUUUCCUUAUAGAAUAGCAUACAAUUAUUCUCACAAACAUCAAUACUUGUAUACUCCAACCCCAACUU
RNAcentral lists this long non-coding RNA (321 nucleotides) under Phoenix dactylifera (date palm). Its description in RNAcentral is "long non-coding RNA (PDAC_LNC000960)". The record is from RNAcentral. Lineage: Eukaryota; Viridiplantae; Streptophyta; Magnoliopsida; Arecales; Arecaceae.